Nitrospirae bacterium 13_1_40CM_2_62_10 is the source of this 297-nucleotide non-coding RNA. The record is from Rfam. NCBI's taxonomy places the organism in Bacteria, Pseudomonadati, Nitrospirota.
CUCCCAAUAUUGUUGCGGACAAAUGAAGUGGAUAUGGGUCUCCACGCCACCGGCCGUCACAAUGCAGCCUUCGGCGGAGAUGGCUUCGGUUCCGGCACCCACCUCCAUCCCUUGACUGACGUUCGGCAUGAGAUCGGGGUUGCCGGACUUCCCGAUGCCGACCACCCGCCCGUCCUUUAUCCCGAUAUCCGCCUUCACGAUACCCCAAUAAUCAAGAAUAAGCGCAUUCGUGAUCACCGUGUCGAGCGCGCCGCUCGCGCUGGUCGCUCGCGGGGACUGGCCCAUCCCGUCACGGAG